Molecule: ribosomal RNA, 253 nt
Filed under: uncultured bacterium
Lineage: Bacteria
Description: partial 16S ribosomal RNA
Rfam family: Bacterial small subunit ribosomal RNA
Source: RNAcentral
UACAGGGGGUGCAAACGUUGCUCGGAAUUAUUGGGCGUAAAGCGCACGUAGGCGGUUUGUUAUGUCGGAUGUGAAAGCCCUUGGCUCAACUGAGGAAGUGCAUCCGAAACUGGCAAGCUAGAGUAUGUAAGAGGGUCGCGGAAUUCCCGGUGUAGAGGUGAAAUUCGUAGAUAUAUGGAGGAACACCAGUGGCGAAGGCGGUCGACUGGCCUAUCACUGACGUUUAGGCACGAAAGCGUAGGGAGCAAAUAGG